CCGAGUUAUACAACUCCUCAACCCCUGUGAACAUACCUAACUUGUUGCCUCGGCGGAAUCAGCCCGCUCCCGUAAAACGGGACGCCCCGCCAGAGGACCCCUAACUCUGUUUCUGUAAUGUACUUCUGAGUAAACACGUAAAUAAAUC
RNAcentral lists this unclassified non-coding RNA (148 nucleotides) under soil metagenome. Its description in RNAcentral is "partial internal transcribed spacer 1". The record is from RNAcentral.